Ictalurus furcatus (blue catfish) is the source of this 5538-nucleotide long non-coding RNA. RefSeq lists it as uncharacterized. NCBI's taxonomy places the organism in Eukaryota, Metazoa, Chordata, Actinopteri, Siluriformes, Ictaluridae. The transcript is spliced from 3 exons. The record is from RefSeq and is a predicted model, not a curated record.
AGCGUUCUUAAAGGCUAUCUGGGGGGAAAAAAUGAAAGUAUGAAAAAAAAACAUUUUUUUGGAAGACAUUUAGCUAAAAAAGUGUUAAUUUCCCCCUUGUAUAAUUCUGCUUUGUUGCAUUGGACGUCUUUGUUUUGUUAUAUAAGGCGUUGGCUUUAUACUCCGUUAUAGGCAACUUUGCAUAAUAACAUCAUUAGUGCUUUUUUUCCCUACAGUGAAAUGAUCGAAUGCUUUAAUCAGAUUGCUGAAGACUCAAAGUGCCGUGUGGUGGUGGUCUCGGGUGCAGGGAAAAUCUUCACUGCAGGUACAGCAGUAUGAUAUUUUUUUUUUCGGAAUUGGAAAUAUGCUUUAAUUUUUAUGUGGGUUUGCAGUGCUUUUACUCUCAUAGCUGUUCAUUAUUAUAAUAAGCAAUGGCUCCAUGUGCUAAAACCACAACACUAAGUGAAGUUCAUUUAAUUUAACAAGCAUCGUUAUUCGUUCCUAGUGCAGAAUGUAUUACACUUCGAGUUUAGCAGUUAAUAGUCUUUCUAAUUAGGGAUGUGCCAGGUAUUCGAAUACACAUUUAACCUUUUGAGGUGCCAUUAGUUAAGUCAAGUGGGUUUUUAUUGUCAUUCCUCUAUAUAGCUUGUAUACACUGGAACAAAGUGACAUUCCUUCCGGACCAUGAUGCAACACAGUUGUGUAUUUGCACUUUAUGUAGUCUUGCGUACUGUUCUGUGUGAGAUGAAUGCAACACAAUAAAAACACAAAACAGCAAAUACACAGGACAGUAGAUACACAGGACAUGGACUGUAACUGUAAGCUACUGUGUAAUGUAGCAGCACAUGUACUGCAGCAAUACUGGCAGCAGAAAUAGUUCCCUAGUAUAAAGUGACUGAUGCAGCUAUGUAAAGUCUUACUGGGUUAGUGCGGUGUGCAGUGGUAUGAGUCUUACUGGGUGAGGUGUUUGACUAGCCCAGGUGAGCACUGUAAUCUGACUGUCUCAGGGAAGAAACUGUUGCAGAGUCUGCUGCUGGUGGCACAGACGCUCCUGUACCUUCUGCCAGAUGGCAGGAGGGUGAAUAGUCUGUGAAAGGGGUCCUCCACAAUACUGGUGGCUUUGCGGAUGCACCGGUAGUUGAAGGAGGUGUGUGGUGGGUAGAGAGACCCGAUGAUCUUUCCAGCUGUCCUCACAAUUCACUGUAGGGUCUUGCGGUUGGAGGCGGUGCAGUUCCCGUACUACACCGUGAGACAGCUGGUUUGUUUGUACCCUUUAUUGGCAUGAAGUCAAUGAGAAAAUCUGGUCAGGUCUAGCAGAACAGUUACCCCAGACAUUGUGUAAGUUAUAGGUGUUCAUGUGCACUAGGGCUGCACGAUUAUGGCCAAAAUGAUAAUCCCGAUUAUUUUGAUUAAUAUUGAGAUCUUGAUUAUUUAUCACGAUUAUUAAUUGAUUUUAGUGACAACAUUUUUUAUUGCACUUUCACAUUUAAGUUUUCUCAUGCCACAAUAUAACACACAAGUAGGCAUGAGAACUUGAGCUGGUCAAUUAUGACAGAAUUUAGGAACAUAGUGUGAGCCAUGACACAUUAAUUUACCUUCUGAUAAACUAAAUCUAGUAUUUUCAGUUUCAGGUGUGCAGUGGCUUUGGUAUCAUGUACGUGUUGGGAGAAACAGUCUUCUUAGAUUCACUCAAUUCUGAAUGUUCACACUUCAACUGUUCUUUUCCCCCCAGUUGUAUAGUGAAUAUACAGCUUAAUAGAAUGAUUAAAGAUCUAGCAGCAAGGUCGUUUUCCCUAUUUGGGGAAAACAUUUAUUAUUAAAGUAGGGUUGAACGAAGUGCACUUCAUUUGACUAUUUAUUGGAAUUGUAACAAAAUGUUAACUUUAUCACUAUUAGAAGACCGAUUUGUGGUCUUAUCCUCAUUACAGGCACGGAUGCUGAUCACAGAGGAGAGCCUGAUGACCACGAUCGUCCGCACACUCCAUGAUCACCUGAGACAUCCAGACCAGCAGGGACGAUUUCAGUUUGAUCUCUACAGUGCACAAAAGGUCUUUAAAUUCCGCAGGGUCCAGAGUCUUAUAGAAGACCUCAAGUACGGCUGGAAAAAAGCAGAAUGUGUUACACUGUCUGUCAGAGAAUAUCAUUAUUAAUGAUAAUUAAUAGCUAAUCAUUCUCAUUAAACUUUUUUUUUUAAACUCGGAUAUGUCCUGAUUAGCCGUCCAACAGAGUGGACCGACAAGCUCAGGGAGAAGUUUCUGGAAGGACUUGAUGCUUUCUUGGAGCUGCUCAAGUGCAUGCAGUGUGUUUCGUGUGUUUGUAUAAGCCAUGUUAACUUGCAGUUAUAGAUGUAAUAAUCAUGUAGGGGGGGAAAUAUAGCCAUGUUCUUUAAUAUCAGUAGUAUAAUGUGUGUUGGGGAUUUGUGACUUCUGCAGGGUAUGGACCCAAUAGUACGCGACGUGGACCAAGACAUAGAGAUGGAACCAUUGUGGGUGACAGCCUUCACAUUGCAGAUGAAGCUCACACACAUUCUCAGUGAUGCAAGAGUGGUGUGCCAGUGAUGUGAGUACUAACACACUCACCAGUACUAGUAUAUUACAAUAUGUGCACACUCUACAGGAGUUCUGGUAGUGCGACCAUAGCAGCAAAUGCACAUAUUAUUCCUGCACAAACUAAAACCAACAAGAUCUGUCUGAAGAUCACAGGACUUUUGUCUUUGUCAUGUCUUUGAGGUGUAUGGAAAUGAUUGGCUCUGAGUAGGGAUUUCUUGAAGGUCAAAGUUCUACAUGUGGUUGUAAAUUUAAAUCUAUAUAUGGAAGCCUUCAAUUAAGAAGGAAGUAUUCGACGUGCAGGAAGUGGACAAAAUAACUAACAGUACAUGAAAAAGCAUCUUGACAAGCACAGCUAUUGCACUUUAGAGGUGAACAACACGCGUACACAAGUACGAAGAACAUCGGCGUUUCCGAAACUUUUAUAAAUCCGGCAGAAACGUUUAGUUUGGUUUGACUUGGGCAAACAUUUACACACAACUUUACUAAAAGAAACUUGCUCAGAACUACAAACAGCCGUUCCCUCAGCACUGAAACUGGAGACUCCUUCCAAAACACAUGUCUGCUUUCAACAUAUGAUUUUGAUUGAUUUAUUUGAUAAACAACACGCUUUUUAAUCUAUUUAUUGUUAGACCUGUAUUACAUAGAGAUCACGUGUCUUACUUUUAACGUCUUGCUCACAGUGUUUGUGUCCGUGUUUGUUCGUCAGGGCUCAGGACGUUCCCCCGCAGCUGUUGAGCCAGAGAGAGCUGAAAUGGUUAGAGAUGCUGAAGAACUGGGACAAAAGGAUCAACAAGAGAUUUAAGAAGGAGGCGGUUCAGCUGGACGGAGAGAUCCUGCAUGCGCUGUUGAAGUGAGUGUGUCCUGUGGCGUAUCGGCACCUGGACAAGCACAAGAUCAAGCUGGUGCUCUACAUGAUGGAGUGGUUCAUGUGCGCCUUCUCCUGAACUCUGCCCUGGGCCUCAGUCCUCCGAGUGUGGGACAUGUUCCUGUGUGACGGUCAGAAGAGUGUUAAUGGUGUUUACUGCUCAUCUGGAGAGUCACCGCCAUCUUUCUGCAGGGGGUUAGAAGUUCAUCUGCAAGGAGAGCUUUGUGGCUAUGGUCAUGAGGGUCUGAGGUCUGCUGAGGGUGCGAGCCACCACACACUGGCUUGGAGUGGGACAGUCCACACACAGGUACUUCUUCACGCAAUCGUAUUUAUCCUUACGGUUGGUUGAGAGGAUCACAACCACCUUACACACAUGAUUUAAAGUGAGUGCUUCAGAACAAGAAGUAUUGGUAAUCUGUAGACUGAGGCUGUUAAUCUGAAAUUAUCUUAUGCCGUAUGCUUAGACCCAUAAAAGGAUAUACUGUGACAAAAAUCACAUAGAAGCAGUUGCACUGCACUGCGUGUCACAUCACAAAAGGUGAAACGACUUUAACAAAGAAAAUCAAACCGCAAUAUCCUUAAACAUUCAAUUUAAAAAUUAAAUAAAUAAAUAAAAACAGUUUCAUUUGACUUAUUUACUAGAAGUGUCAUGAUCCUAGCUUUUAUUUUCCUUAAUGGAAAGCUUGAGUAUCAGCCGAUACCCAUGCGAUAUUGUUUUCUUUAAGAUCUACAACGCUCAUUAUUUUAACUGAAGCACUCGUUUACCAUUAAACUUUCAUACAGAAACCCAUACAUAAAGUAUGAAUAUAAUGAAUUCAAUCCUAGUGAAAGAACAGUCACGUCUCUUUUACAUGCAUCAGUUAUAUGAUUUGAUUUCUGUUAUCUCUGAUAGCUGAGCCACCGUUUUUUUUUUGGUUUUUUUUGUUGCCAUCAGGUCCUGGAUCAGUGCCAUGUAGGGAUGCACGAUUAUGGCCAAAAUGAUAAUCCCGAUUAUUUAGAUUAAUACUGAGAUCUCGAUUAUCACGGUUAUUCAGUGAUUUUAGUGAUAACAUAUUUUGUAUUGCACUUUCACAUUUAUUAAGUUCUCUCAUGCCACAAUACAACACAUAAGUAGGCAUGAGAAAACUUGAGCUGGUCAAUUAUGACAGAAUUUAGGAACAUAGUGUGAGCCAUGACACAUUAAUUUACCUUCUGAUAAACUAAAUCUAAUAUUUUCAGUUCAUUUUACAGACUGUAUGCACAAAACAACCGUUAACCUGUUUACCUCGUAAACAAAUACAAUAAACCUCAAUGUUCAGUGUUUGAAGUCUGCUCCUCUUAAAUAUAUUUAAAGCUGCACUAUUAGACAUUUCCACUGUCAUGGUUCUGGGCUGGAGUCAGUUCUCGAACCGCUCUGUGUGUAUUGUGUAGAUAUCUGAAUAAUCUCAUAUAGGAUGUGAUUGGGUGAGUUCAUUUACCCGUCAGAUGCAAAGCGCUUUAGGUUAAUGGUGUUCAUUACUGAUGCUCCGAUCAGGAUAUUUACAGCCAAUACCGGUCCAGAUACCAAUCUUUUCUUGUUUAAGCUUUAAAUCAGGAGGUCAUAAACAGUUAAAUGUUAUUUCUCUGCUCAUGGUAACUGUUAACUGAAUUAAAAUAAUAGCAAUGAGAAAUACUGUUGGUUAAUUGAUAAAUAAACAGCAUAAAAUAUUUAUUUUUAAAUAUCUUAAACAAUAAAGAGUCCUAAUUAAAAGUAGACUAACACAAAAAUGAUCCAUAUUAGGAAAAAGGCUAACAGCUUUCUAAGGAAAUAGCGAACCAAGAUUAAUGUCAAACAGGAUAGCUCAACACACACACACACUUUUAUUUCACAUUAUUUAAAAGGAAUUUAAGUGUUAUUUACCAUAAUUAUGAACACAAGUUAAGUUGACAAUCAUUUUAAAAUUCCGUUGCUCCAUUUAGAUUUUCUCCAGUAGAAUACAGCCUUUUAAACCAGGAAAAAUUACUAAUUUUAAGUCGUAUAACAUUCGUAAUAACUAAAAAAACGGUGUAAUUACCAGUCUUUCCUCCCCACAAGGGAGUUUUAGGAAACCAUCAGCUUUUAACCGUCUGUAGGUACUGUAUUUGUCUGUGUUUGAGCGCCAUCUGGAGGACAGAUGCCAUUUUGAA